UUGUUUUCUUGUGUAUUGCUGUUUCUGUCUUUGUAACUACAUAUAUUGCAGUAGCAGUAUGUUUGAUUCGUGGUAAAAGAAAAGCAUUGCUUAAACCGGAAAAUGAAGAAUACAAUCAGCUGCAGGUAAAACAAAUAUAAACAAAAAGACUUCUGUUAUAUAUAUGAUUGCUAUUUACUCACUAUGCUUAGAAAAACUAUGAUAUAUGAUGUUGAAUGUCCAUUUUUUAAUGUAUGUGCAUCUCAAACUCCUUAUAUAUAAUGAAGAGUAAUCUACCUUGAACUUUAUUUUUAAUCAGUUAUAUCAAUCAAUCUCGUCGUUUUGAUUAUUUAUUUAAAGAAUACAACACAAACACAAGAAAGAAUCGUGUAAGAUUUUAGAAUUGCUGAAACAAGCCAAAAUUGAUAAAACAUCCAUUCUGCAAGUAGUUACAUGCACUUUGCACCUCUUUUCAAAUUUAAAUGCGUCGAUUAAAGUUUGUUCUCGAAUUCAAAAUUACCCGUAGACAUUAUUAAUGCGAAAUUCGUAAUACAGAUGAAUAAGUUCGGCCAACAUCACUAGACUAUACAAAGGUUGUGAGUGGGGAUCGUAUGUUCUGAACAAUCUUCGAAACCAAAAAAAUGUUCAAAAGAUAAAGACAAAGACCAACUACUAGGAACACCACGAAAAAAAAAAAACCUGCAGAGACUUAAAUAUGUGGGCAUUUUCAAUAUGCCAACGCUAGGGACAGACAUUUUGCCUUGGAACAAAUUACAAAAAUAUCACAAACGCUGACAAAAUAAAAUUAGUUGUUGCAAACGAACUAAUUAAAGAUAAAAACAAAACAAUACAAAUAUAACUCUUCCAAUGGAUUUAAAGUUCCCUUUUCAAUCAGACAAGGCAAAACAAGCCACAAAUUGUAGUAGCAUGUCAAACAAUUAAAACCUUAGAGAACAGUUGAGACAUACUAUAAAUCUUCACAACAUAAAUUAACUCUGAUAAUAUUAAUUUAGUACAUGUAUGGAAAUAUCACCAUUCAAGUAAUCUACAAAUUUAAAAUAUAAAGCAUUGUUUAACUGUUGUUUUAAUUACACACUGCGCUCAUCAGGGCCGUAACUACCUAUGAGGCAGGGGAGGCAACUGCCUCCCCUGAAUUUUCUACACCAAAAUUUUUUUUUGAAGUAAUAAAAUGAAAUAUUGACAAUAUGUACACGAAGAACUUGAAUUUAUAUUAUAAACUAUACAAGUUAACAGUUUUAACACUGUUAUCAUGAUACGUGAUAUAUCUGUCAUUUUCCGGAUUUUUGAUCGAAAGUGAACCGUUUCAGUAUAUUUUUUUUUUCGUGUGGCCGUCCGUCUGUUAUUCAGUAUUAUAACACAUAUGAAACUUUGCUUUCGACAAUUUUGAAUAAACUUAACUAUUCACAUUUAUGUAGGGGCUCCAUUAAGCAGAGGAAGUUCCCUUUGUAUUGUGAAUCUUUUGUGAUAUCUGAAAUUCGUUACCGGCUGAAUCAGCUGUUGGGUCAUUUUGUAACGUCUCCCGGCCGAUCGUACGAGAACAGUAUGGUCAAUGCCUUAGUAGUUAAACACUCCAAUUCGUUGAAGCAGAGACUUUCUAAACUAAGGAUAUACUAGUUUAGAAAGUCCCUGGUUGUAGUUAUAUACAUGUCUGUUCAGUUUUCAACAAUAUUGAAAUUCAAGGUCCUCGACAAAAAAAAAUAUCUUGCUUUCUAUGAUCUUGCUUUAUAUGUUUUUUUUAACUGACCAGUUUGAUUUCUAACAAAAAUAUCUUAAAAUACAGAUACUAAUUGUUUGCAUAAAAAUUGCUUCCAGGAUCCAGCAAUACUGAUGUUUCUUAAACAUGUUAAAGUAAGUAAAUCGAAGGAAACGGGUCAUUUUUAGCCAUUUUACUGCGAGAAGAAAAUCAGCGGCCCCAAACCCCUGCCUCCCCUGAAGUCGAACCCUAGUUACGGCCCUGCUCAUGCAAGUCAACUGUUCGUUAUCUUCAAUAUGAAUGAAGCAGAAUGGUUAUGUUGAGUUUCUUAAAAUUGUGGCGUUCAAAUUAUAUCGCACAAUCAAUUAAAAUUCUAACACUACACGUCUACCAAAAUAUGAAUUGACUAACCACUCAGUCUACCACGGGAUACUUUAACUUGAUGUAUUUGUUAUUGCAGAUCAUGUUGAAUUCACUACCACUGUAACAGUAAUUUAAAACACCACGAUCUGCUUCAGGAUUUUUAUUGAUAUCG
RNAcentral lists this long non-coding RNA (2228 nucleotides) under Mytilus galloprovincialis (Mediterranean mussel). Lineage: Eukaryota; Metazoa; Mollusca; Bivalvia; Mytilida; Mytilidae. The record is from RNAcentral.